Oreochromis niloticus (Nile tilapia) is the source of this 627-nucleotide long non-coding RNA. RefSeq lists it as uncharacterized. NCBI's taxonomy places the organism in Eukaryota, Metazoa, Chordata, Actinopteri, Cichliformes, Cichlidae. The transcript is spliced from 2 exons. The record is from RefSeq and is a predicted model, not a curated record.
GGACUUUUUCAUCCCAUUAAUUAAUUGUAGAGCAACUAAACCGUGAAAAGCUACAGACGGGAACUUUACUGACCGCUCUCUUGGCAGGUCUGCUGUGACAGCCGCCGAGGGGAAGCACCCACUAAUAGAGUCAGCUAAUUAUGGAGAUGGCACAUUUGUCAGAAAUGCGUCCCCCUCGCAACCCUGGCGCAACCCUCCCGCCGUCCUCUGCAGAUGCCCUGUGUUUUCAGGCAGGAGGGAGGGGUGCAGACAGACAAACGCACCCUGUUGUAAUUAGCUAGCAGGGAGUGCUCGGCGACCUGUGAGGGGAGUCGAAUGGCGGCCGCUGCUCACGGGUAUUGUUUUGGCUCCAGACACAACAGAAGCUCUGCUGAUGGGGUGUGUGUGUGUGCAAUAAAAUGGAAAGGUAGAGAGUGGGAAUGCAAGUACAAAGGUACAAUGAAAGGCUUUUCGCACCACUUUUCCGUGAUGUGGUUGUGCAACCUUGUCAGACUUCAGCAAUGUUUUGAUUGUAACGUCUGUACAGACCUUUCUAGAUUAGAGUCACUGCAUUUGUUUUAAUCACGAAAGAUCGCUUGUGUGUGGUUUUGUUUUAAAGUGUGACUGUUAAAAAGAACUAAAACAAAA